AACGAACGCUGGCGGCAGGCUUAACACAUGCAAGUCGAACGAGCUGGGACCUUCGGGUCCCGAUGCUAGUGGCGCACGGGUGAGUAACACGUGGGAACGUACCCUUUAGUACGGAAUAACUGAGGGAAACUUCAGCUAAUACCGUAUGACUCCUUCGGGAGAAAGAUUUAUCGCUAAAGGAUCGGCCCGCGUCUGAUUAGGUAGUUGGUGAGGUAAAUGGCUCACCAAGCCUACGAUCAGUAGCUGGUCUGAGAGGAUGAUCAGCCACACUGGGACUGAGACACGGCCCAGACUCCUACGGGAGGCAGCAGUGGGAAUAUGGACAAUGGGGGCAACCCUGAUCCAGCCAUGCCGCGUGAGUGAAGAAGGCCUUCGGGUUGUAAAG
RNAcentral lists this ribosomal RNA (385 nucleotides) under uncultured bacterium. RNAcentral describes it as "bacterial SSU rRNA". It matches the Rfam family "Bacterial small subunit ribosomal RNA", at positions 29 to 430 of the family's 1533-position model. The record is from RNAcentral.